UUGUCUUCACAGAGCAGCUUCCUGUGUACCUCCAGGACCGGAAGUUUCUCUACCCUCCAAACCUCUCUUGAGUGCUGAGACUUCAGUCUGACUUGCAGCUGCUGCUUUGAUUUGCCGAGAUAGCAUCUGAGUCCUGAGUCGCUUUACUGGUUACAAGUUAAAAGUCUGCGGUUCAAACAAAAAACCUGGGUGUCUGAGAAGAACAUCGAUCUGCGGGCAGAGAGCAACUGGCCUGGUGUCGG
Molecule: long non-coding RNA, 242 nt
Filed under: Rattus norvegicus (Norway rat)
Lineage: Eukaryota; Metazoa; Chordata; Mammalia; Rodentia; Muridae
Description: long non-coding RNA NONRATT000577
Source: RNAcentral